RNAcentral lists this unclassified non-coding RNA (1440 nucleotides) under Diuraphis noxia (Russian wheat aphid). Its description in RNAcentral is "serine/arginine-rich splicing factor 1, transcript variant X3". Lineage: Eukaryota; Metazoa; Arthropoda; Insecta; Hemiptera; Aphididae. The record is from RNAcentral.
GAUAAUAUUAUAUUAAUUAAAAUUGAAGUCUAAAGUCUGUGUGUAAAAUAUAAUAAAUUAUUGUUUGUUGUACUCAUAACUGAUACUAUUGUCUAUUAUGCUUAUAAACCAUAGUGAAUUGCCAUUGUUGCUGCGUAACUGUUUUCGGGAAAUUCACUCAAUUUAUUAGCCAGCUUGCCAGCUUGGCUUUCUCAACAUAAUCUCUAUAAGCGCAGCUCGCCGCGCACGCUCACUUACGCAUCGCCAACGCCAAGUGCCGACUGCUGCAGUGCUGAGAUAUUGUUAACGUUAAGUGUCAAUAUUCUCUAUCGUCUUCAUACAGGCGUUAUAAUUAUUUUUAAAGUCGUUUAUUACACUAAUACAUUCAACCGCGUUUAACCGAUACCGGUACUUUUUUUUAUCUAUUAAAUCGUACAAGAUAUACCUCAGCCUGCUCGGGAAAAUGUCCAACAACGACUGUAGAAUUUACGUGGGAAACCUGCCGCCUGACAUACGCACGAAAGACAUACAAGAUUUGUUCUACAAAUUUGGUAAAGUGUUGUUUGUCGAUUUGAAAAAUCAGAGAGGUCCACCUUUUGCCUUUGUCGAAUUCGACGAUCCUAGAGAUGCAGAAGAUGCAGUCCAUGCUAGAGAUGGUUAUGAUUAUGAUGGCUACAGAUUACGUGUAGAGUUUCCACGUGGAAAUGGUCCACAUAGAAGUGGUGGUGGUGGCAGUAGUAGUGGUGGUGGAAGUUACAAUAGAGGAGGUGCUAGUGGUGGAAGUGGAAGAAGCCGGGGUCCUCCAGCUAGGCGCUCUCAGUAUAGAGUACUUGUUACUGGAUUACCUGCGUCAGGAAGUUGGCAAGAUUUAAAAGAUCAUAUGCGUGAAGCAGGAGAUGUGUGUUAUGCAGAUGUAUACAAAGAUGGAUCUGGUGUAGUUGAGUUUUUACGUUAUGACGAUAUGAAAUAUGCUGUUCGUAAGCUUGAUGACUCAAGAUUCAGGUCUCACGAGGGUGAAGUAACAUAUAUUAGAGUAAAAGAUGAUUAUGGUGGUGGAAGCAGUCGUCGCAGUCGUGAUUAUAAUAGUCGCAGUCGUAGUCGCUCAGCUAGCUAUUCACCUAGAGAUCGUGGAACACCAACAUAUUCACCUGUUAGAAAAAGUCGUAGUUAUUCAAGAUCUCGUUCCCGUUCAUAAUAUUGAGGAUAACCAAAUGACUUCCUGUAUCAAAUCAAUGGAAAACAAUUUUCUGAUGAUAAAAAUGUAUUGCUUACUAUACUGGACAACAUCUUUACCCUCUUGUUAAAAAUCAGUGGACAGAAAACAGAAUUCAUUAACUAUGUUAUUCACAAAAUCACUGUACAGCAAUCUGAUCAAUACAUCGUACAUUUUAUUGCUAAUAUUACUUAUGACUACCACACAGAUAAGCUUACAAGAAGCUUCAAAUAAUAUUUAUACUCUUA